This 498-nucleotide ribosomal RNA is filed under the name Triticum aestivum (bread wheat). RNAcentral describes it as "partial small subunit ribosomal RNA". The record is from RNAcentral. Lineage: Eukaryota; Viridiplantae; Streptophyta; Magnoliopsida; Poales; Poaceae.
AUGGAUGACAUACUGAUCUUUGGUACUAACAUUAAUGCGAUCAACGAGGUAAAGUCUUUUCUAUCAAAAAGUUUUGACAUGAAAGAUCUGGGAGAAGCUGAUGUAAUUCUAAACAUCAAACUUAUCAAGGAUGAUAGUGGGAUUACUCUAACGCAAUCUCACUACGUUGAGAAGGUCUUGAGCCUGUUCAGCUUUAUGGAUAGAAAGCCUUCUCCAACACCUUAUGAUCCCAGUGUGACACUCGGGAAGAACAAGAAAGAAACGAGAGAUCAAUUAAGAUACUCUCAAAUUAUCGGUUCACUCAUGUACUUAGCUAGCGCUACAAGGCCAGAUAUCUCUUUUACAGUGAGCAAACUAAGUAGGUUCAUGUCCAACCUGGGUGAUGAUCAUUGGCAUGCACUAGAAAGGGCCUUGCACUAUCUGAGAGGUAUUAUGAGUUAUGGAAUUCACUAUUCUGGGCAUCCUCCUGUGCGAGAAGGAUAUAGUGAUUCGAAUUGA